GCAAGAGGCACUCUGGUUUCAGCUCAGGGAUACACACAGUGGACUUUUGGCCUCCAGCACUAUGAACUGAGCUCAGUCCAUGGGGUUUACACAGCAAGCAUUUUACCAACGGAUCCAUGUGGCUUGUGCCAAGUCCCCAUCAACACUGCUGAGUUGCUGUAAUACUCAAACCAGUUCAGAGCCUCAUUUCUUUUGCUUCAUUAUCCUGGAAAAUGCCUGUCAUGUGAGGCCCUGAAGCAUCUGCGAGGAAAACCUCAGAAAGAGAUUGCCUUUCCUUUCCUGUCUUCUGAUAUGUGAGCUAAGUCAGCAACACCAGUGACAACAGCCUGACCUUGGACCUUUAGAACAGUGAGUAGUUGACGUCUGUGCUUUAUAAACCACACACACAUAGUAGAACAAAUAGACUAAAACAAUAUUGUGUUUCAUAUAUCCAGUAAUGCCUCUUUAGAUGUUUUAUCCACAAGAUCCCUGGCAUGUUGGCUUUAACUCAGAUGCCACCAUUCCUCUAUAUCUUUUCUUUUACUUACACACACACACACACACACACACACACACACACA
Molecule: long non-coding RNA, 560 nt
Filed under: Mus musculus (house mouse)
Lineage: Eukaryota; Metazoa; Chordata; Mammalia; Rodentia; Muridae
Description: lincRNA-EC89
Source: RNAcentral